GUCACCAUCCGGACCAAGUAUGGAGCGUGGACGGGUUGCUGGAGAGGUGCCCCUGAGCAAGGCACCAAACAGACAUCUCUCCAUGUAAUGCAUGUACAGGUCCUGUUUGUGCAUGUGUGUAUUUCGGGAGUGUGUGUUUAUAAAGUGUGAAAAAUUUGAAUUCCCCCAGGAUUAAUAAAAUAUGUCUUCUUUUGUUUUCUUGUGAUUGCAAGCCUGUCAUGCAAAGUGUAUUGAAAGCUGCGGUGGACGCUUCAAGCAGCGGCUGCUGAUUCUACAGCGAAGUGCAGCCAAACUAAAAGUUGGGGAUGGUUUUACUCUUAGUGGUGUUUUGGCAAGAGCACCUGGAGCCAGUCAGUAAACAGUCCUGUGACUCCUGAGACAUGUUGAAGAGAGUGAAAAACUUUCAGGGUCACAUGGAGGCCCAACUGUAUAGUCUGCCAGAGGAUUAUUACAUCAACCUGAUCUGCCCAAUAAUGCGGGGACUGUUUCUGAAUUUCUUCAGUAAUGUGUCCGUGGUUCAGACAAGGACAAAGACUGGCGUCUCAUGUACGAAUGUCAACUGGGAAUAAUGCAGUCAUACAUUAUGGUAUAAGCACUACAGUCCUUCCAAGGAACUGCCUCAGAGACAACGGCUGCAGCUACAGUAACUGAUCCAUGUCUGAGUGCAUUUUCCGCACAGCGAUGUCAUUUUCCACGCUCGACAUAUGCUGCAUAUGAACACUGGCACGAGAGAGCACACUGUCUGAGGUUUUAGAUCCCAUGUCAGUGAUUUUGAGGGAUUGGGGCCCUGCAGGAAAAGUGUGUUAGUAUCAAUUGCUCCCAGGGAGAACAACAUCUGGGAAGAGCUCCU
Molecule: long non-coding RNA, 850 nt
Organism: Epinephelus fuscoguttatus (brown-marbled grouper)
Lineage: Eukaryota; Metazoa; Chordata; Actinopteri; Perciformes; Serranidae
Exons: 4
Source: RefSeq, a predicted model, not a curated record